This 308-nucleotide small RNA is filed under the name Arabidopsis thaliana (thale cress). Its description in RNAcentral is "ATSL208560". The record is from RNAcentral. Lineage: Eukaryota; Viridiplantae; Streptophyta; Magnoliopsida; Brassicales; Brassicaceae.
GAUUUAGGUAUAGGAUCUUGAGUCCUUAUGUUAUUUCUCGAGGCUUUUUAGUGUCUUUUCAGGUACUCUAUGCAGUGGGACAACAAUGGAGAUAAGGAGACAUUUUCGAGCAAGAGCUAAGGAAAAGGAAGCUAAGGACGAUUUUGGAUUCAGGAAUCAGCGAGGAGUGUCGAUCGACACACUCUUGGUGUCGAUCGACACCAGUUUCGGCCCAGCAAAAGUUCUAGACGCUUUUGAGUUUACAGAAGAGGAAAUUUUCCCCAGAAGAUUUCUCUAUUUGCAUUAUUAGUCCAUGGACGUUUUUAGGG